CUUGGUCAUUUAGAGGAAGUAAAAGUCGUAACAAGGUUUCCGUAGGUGAACCUGCGGAAGGAUCAUUCAUAAUAAGUGUUUUAUGGCACUUUUUUAGAUCCAUAUCCACCUUGUGUGCAAUGUCAGGGUUGGUCUCUUGAAAAAGAGAUCAGCCCCAAACAUCAACCCAAUCUUAACUCUUUGUCUGAAAAAUAUUAUGAAUAAAACAAUUCAAAAUACAACUUUCAACAACGGAUCUCUUGGCUCUCGCAUCGAUGAAGAACGCAGCGAAAUGCGAUACGUAAUGUGAAUUGCAGAAUUCAGUGACUCAUCGAAUCUUUGAACGCAUAUUGCGCUCUUUGGUAUUCCGAAGAGCAUGCUUGUUUGAGUAUCAGUAAACACCUCAAAGCCUUUUUUUGUUAAGAGGCCUUGGACUUGAGCAAUCCCAACACUUUUCCUCCAAGAAAAGUGGCGGGUUGCUUGAAAUGCAGGUGCAGCUGGACAUUCUCCAGAGCUAAAAGCAUAUUCAUUUAGUCCCGUCAAACGGAUUAUUACUUUUGCUGCAGCUAACAUAAAGGGAGUUUGACCAUUUUGGCUGACUGAUGCAGGAUUUUCACAAGAGUCUCCAAAAGCUUUUGUUAAACUCGAUCUCAAAUCAAGUAAGACUACCCGCUGAACUUAAGCAUAUCAAUAAGCGGAGGA
This 681-nucleotide ribosomal RNA is filed under the name uncultured Mortierella. RNAcentral describes it as "eukaryotic LSU rRNA". The stretch from base 220 to 373 matches the Rfam family "5.8S ribosomal RNA". Lineage: Eukaryota; Fungi; Mortierellomycota; Mortierellomycetes; Mortierellales; Mortierellaceae. The record is from RNAcentral.